CUAGUUUUUCAGAAUACUUCCAAUGAUCAUAUUUUAUUUGUAAUGAUUAUUUUUGAGCUUUCAAUGGCUAGAACAUUAAUAUGACAGACAUUUUUGAGACUAUAACAGUGAAAUAUUCAAAUGGAGGAUCAAGAAAUUGAAACUAUUGAAUUUAUUGAAGAAAAUAUUGAAGCUAUUGAUGGAACCAAAAAGAAGAGGUAAAAAAUUAAAAGAGCUUUCAAUUCUCACCUUCCUAUAUUUACUCAACUCAAAAGAGAGAAAGAGUGCACUUAACUGAGGGAACAACCACCGAGCA
This 295-nucleotide long non-coding RNA is filed under the name Elaeis guineensis (African oil palm). RNAcentral describes it as "long non-coding RNA (EGUI_LNC058956)". Lineage: Eukaryota; Viridiplantae; Streptophyta; Magnoliopsida; Arecales; Arecaceae. The record is from RNAcentral.